AGCACAUUAUAUGGAGUAAUAGGAGUGUUAUACGGAGCACAUUAUAUGGAGUAAUAGGAGUGUUAUACGGAGCACAUUAUAUGGAGUAAUAGGAGUGUUAUACGGAGUAAUAGCAGUGUUAUACGGAGCACAUUAUAUGGAGUAAUGGCAGUGUUAUACGGAGCACAUUAUAUGGAGUAAUAGGAGUGUUGUUAUACGGAGUAAUAGCAGUGUUAAACGGAGCACAUUAUAUGGAGUAAUAGGAGUGUUAUACGGAGCACAUUAUAUGGAGUAAUAGGAGUGUUACACGGAGCACAUUAUAUGGAGUAAUAGCAGUGUUAUACGGAGCACAUUAUAUGGAGUAAUAGGAGUGUUAUACGGAGCACAUUAUAUGGAGUAAUAGGAGUGUUAUACGGAGCACAUUAUAUGGAGUAAUAGGAGUGUUAUACGGAGCACAUUAUAUGGGGUAAUAGGAGUGUUAUACGGAGCACAUUAUAUGGAGUAAUAGCAGUGUUAUACGGAGCACAUUAUAUGGAGUAAUAGGAUGUAUUGUAUCAAUUGCAUUUUAAUAUUGUGGUCUCUGAGGAAGUCCCUAUGUUGUUAAAGGGACGAAACGCGUAGGACCUUAUUUAUAUUCAUUUUAUUUUUAUUUUUUUAAUAUUGAAUUAAAGCCGCUUUUUCAAAACUUCACCCGGAGUCCUGUGUUGGAGUAAAAAUAUCCAGGGGAUCUCCCAGGCCCCCCAUAUUUUCAGGGGAGUAAUAGGAGUGUUAUAUGGAGCACAUUAUAUGGAGUAAUAGGAGUGUUACACGGAGCACAUUAUAUGGAGUAAUAGGAGUGUUAUACGGAGCACAUUAUACGGAGUAAUAGGAGUGUUAU
This 856-nucleotide long non-coding RNA is filed under the name Pelobates cultripes (western spadefoot toad). The record is from RNAcentral. Lineage: Eukaryota; Metazoa; Chordata; Amphibia; Anura; Pelobatidae.